AUUGAACGCUGGCGGCAUGCCUUACACAUGCAAGUCGAACGGUAACAGGUCUUCGGAUGCUGACGAGUGGCGAACGGGUGAGUAAUACAUCGGAACGUGCCUAGUAGUGGGGGAUAACUACUCGAAAGAGUGGCUAAUACCGCAUGAGAUCUACGGAUGAAAGCAGGGGAUCGCAAGACCUUGUGCUACUAGAGCGGCCGAUGGCAGAUUAGGUAGUUGGUGGGAUAAAAGCUUACCAAGCCGACGAUCUGUAGCUGGUCUGAGAGGACGAUCAGCCCCACUGGGACUGAUACACGGCCCAGACUCCUACGGGUGGCAGCAGUGGGGAAUUUUGGACAAUGGGCGAAAGCCUGAUCCAGCAAUGCCGCGUGCAGGAUGAAGGCCUUCGGGUUGUAAACUGCUUUUGUACGGAACGAAAAGCCCUGGGUUAAUACCCUGGGGUCAUGACGGUACCGUAAGAAUAAGCACCGGCUAACUACGUGCCAGCAGCCGCCGUAA
RNAcentral lists this ribosomal RNA (498 nucleotides) under uncultured bacterium. RNAcentral describes it as "partial 16S ribosomal RNA". It matches the Rfam family "Bacterial small subunit ribosomal RNA", at positions 30 to 523 of the family's 1533-position model. The record is from RNAcentral.